ACUAAAACUACCACUUUUAAGACAAUCUUUUGAAGGCGACACAAAAACCUUUACUUUUUGUAACGACUACAAGGGUAAAUGAUAGUCACUAAGAUUUAUGACAGUAAUUGCUUAAAAUAUUCUAUUUCCUUCAAUCUUUUCGGCGUCAAAAGUAAAGAACCAAUAAUCUAAAAUAAACGAACGGCGUCAAAAGUAACGAACCAAUAAUCUAAAAUAAGCGAACACGUAAAAGGUAGCAAAUAUCCGAUGAAAUAGUUAAUAUGGCACAAGUUAAUAUGAAUUUCACCAACAAUCCAAAUUUUGCCUUAUUAUGCAUUCAAGACCAAAAAAAAUGUUUCUAAGAAUUGAGACUACUAAAAAUGCUUGUGAUGAUGGUGAUGAUGGUGUCUUUGUUCAUCCCAUCCAAAGCAUUGCAAUAUAGGGUAAGAAGCCACAAAUAGGCACCUCCUGAUGAUAGAAAACAUAGAGGAGACUAGCAAACAAGGGCAGCAACAACAUGCCAAGAAAUGAUAUUCAUCAUAUGGACUAUUGCCUUCACGGUUAUGAGAGUUGUGGUGGUGGUGAUGGUGAUGAUGGCCCAUCUUUCAAACUUUGACCUGAAUAAAUAAAUUAGUGCUUACUCAUAAUUCAGGAUGUUGCUCAGAAUCUUUAAAAAUGUCGAUGGGUAUGUGUUAGAUCCUCCAAAAUAAUGUAUUUUUGAGGAUUUGACACGAAGACGGCAAUAUUUUUGAAAAGUCUGAACAACAUGGAAUUUAGUCUACUAGCGUAAUGAAAAAUGCAUAUUUCGUUGCAAUUUUUAUCACUGAAUAGAAAGAUGAAUCUUCAGGGAAAAACAUAAUGGGCGUUGAAUGUUGAUGGCCUAUUUUAGAGGCGAACUCAAGAUCGGAACUUUAUGGAUUUGGGGAUUAGGGGGUGUUUGGAUGGUUUUUUUUAGUUAACUUAUAAGCUAAAAGUCAAAAGUAGUUAAUAAUCUAUUUUUGGCUUUUGAUUUUGUUUUUGUUUUUUUGGUGUUUUUUUGCCUAAAGUGAAGUGCUUAAAAGCAUUUUUUGUGUUUACCAAACACCUCCAGAAAUAUUCCUUCCAUUCGCUUUUAUUGUCACUCUUUUCCUAAUUAAAUUUUUAUUUUUACUUGUCAUUUUUGACAUAUUAAGAAAACACUGUCAUUUUUGACAUAUCAAGAAAAGAUUAAAGAAUUUUUCCUAUUUUACCCUUAGUAUUAAUUAUUUAUUCUUCAAACAAUUUUUAAGACAUAUUACACCAACCAUCAAUUAAUAGUGAUAAUAUAAUAAAAUAAUCAUAUCAAUAAUUAUUUUUUUAAUAAAUAUGUCAUGUUGAAAAGUGACAAACAAAAACAAACCAAAAAGAGUAAAAAAGUACAGCCAAAAAAACUUUGAAAAUAAAUCAAUUGAAACACUCUAUUAAUACUUUUUAAGUCAAUGGGUUCUAAAUUUAAUAACUUAUACUCUUGACCCUGGCCGCGAGCCAUCUUCUUCUCGGACCUUAAUACAUAAACCUAGUGAUUACCCAAUAUUGUCCUAGCAAAAUAAUAAAUGCCCACUUUCUUAUAAUUCUCAUCACUAAAUAAUAGAGUGAAUGGCAAAACACACACAUUAAUUAUCACUUUAUACGAGUUUCAUAUCCAACUAUAUAUAUUUGUUUCCUUUCUAUACAUAAAGUAUCACCAUUUAUAUAUUAAAAUAUACUUCAAAACUUAUUAGGGCAACUGUCAGUAGUUUCAUUUUUAUAUUUGAACUAUCACCAUAUAGAUGUUUUUUAAUAAAUAAAUGGUUAUAGAUCACAUAGAAAAUAAAAAAGCUAGCAAUACUUCAAGUAGAAAAAAAAAAUUAUAAUUAAAAUGUGAAACUCGCAAAAAAAGAAAAAGUGAUAAUUUAUUAGUUAAAUCAUUAUAUCUAAAGAAAAGGAUGAAUCUUUAGGAGAGAACAUGGUGGUGAUGAUCUAUCUUCUUUUUUACCUUAAUACAUAAUUAUUCUACUAGUAAAAUUGAAAAUGCUCACUUCCUUAUAAUUCUAGAUGAAUCUUGAAUCAAGAAAUCAACGAGCUUACAAAUAAAUUAUAACAUACCUUGUGAUAUGAACUCCUUUAUCUUUG
Molecule: long non-coding RNA, 2109 nt
Filed under: Capsicum annuum
Lineage: Eukaryota; Viridiplantae; Streptophyta; Magnoliopsida; Solanales; Solanaceae
Description: long non-coding RNA (CANN_LNC008857)
Source: RNAcentral